This is a long non-coding RNA of Pristis pectinata (smalltooth sawfish), 2048 nucleotides long. RefSeq lists it as uncharacterized. The transcript is spliced from 3 exons. NCBI's taxonomy places the organism in Eukaryota, Metazoa, Chordata, Chondrichthyes, Rhinopristiformes, Pristidae. The record is from RefSeq and is a predicted model, not a curated record.
GAAAAGAGCGCGAAGACCGUCAGGCAGAGAGCUGGCAAGGUUUGCAGCGUCAUGAGGGACAGGCACAUCUGUCCCAAACGAAGACUACACAAAAGCAAGUAUGUACUGUACAUACAAAAGAAUACAACAGUUCAUUUGAAAAGCUGAGGCAUGGACUGCUUCAUUUGGUGAGGGCUUGAAUCGGAACUGAACAUUGUGCAAUCAUCAGUGGACAUCCCCACUUCUGACCUCAUGAUAGAAGGAAGGUCAUUGAUGAAGCAGCUGAAGAUGGUUAGGCCUGGGAGACUGCCCUGAGGAUCUCCUGUAGUAAUAUCCUGAGGUUGAGAUGAUUGAUUUCCAACCACCACAAACAUCUUCCUUUGUGCGAGGUGUGGCUCCAACUAUUGACAUCAGUUUUACCAGUGCUCCUUGAUGCCAUACUUGAUCAACUACUUCCUUGACAUCAAGAGCCGUUGGUAACUGUGCCUCUGAAAUUUAGCUCUGGUCCACAUUUAGAUCAAGGCUAUGAAGUCUGGACUGAAGUGGCCCUGGAAAAACCCAAAUUGAGCAUUGGUGAGCAGAUUAUUGGUAAGAGCUAAAAAGUGGCACAUGUUGUGCCCUGCCACUAUUGAAGAUCAGGAUAUGCUAAGCCACAAAGCUACAGAAUGCACUGGUGUACAUUUCAGCUGCUGCUGAUAGUCCUUCGUGUCUCAUGGAUGCCCAGUUUUGAGCCACCACAUCAGUCCUGAGUCCAUUCCAGUUAGCUCAUUUGUCAUGCCACACAACAUGGUGGAGGGGGUCCUUGGUGUGAAGACAAGUUUAGCCUUCACAUUUGUUUAACUACUACCUGCCACAGACCUAGUCUAGCAGCUAUAUCCUUCAGGACUUGCCCAGCUUGAUUAGUGCUGGUACAACCAAGCUACUCUUGAUGGUGGAUAGUAAAGUCCCCAUCCAGAGUACGUUCUGUGCCUUUGCUACUUUCAAUGCAUCUUCCAAGUGUUGUUCAACACAGGAGCACUGAUUCAUCAGCCAAGGGAGAAUAGUAGGUGAUUUUCUUGCUCAUGUUUGACCUGAUGCCAUGAAACUCCUUGCAGUCUGGAGUUGAUGUUGAGGACUGCUCCUUCCCACCAGUAUAUCACUGUACUGCUGAUGGGUCUGUCCUACUGGUGGGACAGAACAUAACCAGGGAUUGUGAUGGAGCAAUCUAGCACAUUGUAAACUUUAUUUAUACAGCACAGUAACAGGCCCUUCUGGCCCAAUGAGUCCGCACCACCCAUUUAAACCCAUGUUAACCUACCUGUACGUUUGGAAUGUGGGAGGAAACCCACGCAGUCACGGGGAGAACGUACAAACAUCGUCUAAAGGUAUGAUUCUGUGCGUACGACUGUUCAACUUUUGCUCGACUGGUCUGUGGAACAACACUCCCAGUCCGAGCACCUGUCCCAAGAUGUUUGAGAGGAGGACUUAGCAAGGUUGACUGGGCCAGGAGCAAUCUUUGCCACAUCCAAAUUCAGUGCUAGAGUCUUAACUGGGUGGUCUGUCUGGUUUUAUUCUGUUGGUAAUGCCACAUCUGAUUGGCUUGCUGGGCUGCUUCACAGUACAUUUAGAGUCAACCACAUGGAUUAUGUCUUGAGGCAUAUAGAGUCAUAGAGCAAUACAGUAAGGUACAGGCCCUUUGGCCCAUCGAGUCCAUGCCAACCAUGGUACCCACCCAUCUAGUCCCAAUUUCCUGUGUUUGGCCCAUAUCCCUCUAAGCCCCGUCCCUGCAUGUACCUAUCCAAGUGCUUCUUAAAUGAUACUGUUGUACCUGCCUCAACCACUUCCUCUGGCAGCUCAUUCCAUAUACUCACCACCCUCUGGGUGAAAAAGUUGCCCCUUGGGUCCUUUUUGAAUCUUUCCCCUCUCACCCUAAAUCUAUGCCCCCUAGUUUUGAUCUCCCCUACCCUAGGGAAAAGACUGCUACCAUCCACCUUACCUAUGCCCUUCAUGAUUUUAUAAACUGUACCAUUACACCUCAUUCUCCUACAUUCCAAGGAAUAAAGAUCUAACCUGGCCAACCUCUCCCUAUA